RNAcentral lists this ribosomal RNA (253 nucleotides) under uncultured bacterium. RNAcentral describes it as "partial 16S ribosomal RNA". It matches the Rfam family "Bacterial small subunit ribosomal RNA", at positions 524 to 776 of the family's 1533-position model. The record is from RNAcentral.
UACGUAGGGGGCUAGCGUUGUCCGGAAUCAUUGGGCGUAAAGCGCGUGUAGGCGGCCCGGUAAGUCCGGUGUGAAAGUCACAGGCUCAACCUGUGAAUGCCGCUGGAAACUGUCUGGCUUGAGUCCGGAAGGGGCGAGUGGAAUUCCUGGUGUAGCGGUGAAAUGCGCAGAUAUCAGGAAGAACACCCGUGGCGAAGGCGGCUCUCUGGGACGGUACUGACGCUGAGACGCGAAAGCGUGGGGAGCGAACAGG